Molecule: ribosomal RNA, 112 nt
Filed under: chicken gut metagenome
Source: RNAcentral
GGUGAUGAGAACGAAGAGGAAACACCUGUACCCAUACCGAACACAGAAGUUAAGCUCUUGAGUGCCGAAAAUACUUGGAGGUUACCCUCCUGGGAACAUAGGUCGUUGCCAG